GAGGGUAUAGCUCAGUGGUAGAGUGCAUGCUUAGCAUGCACAAGGACCUGGGUUCAAGCCCCAGUACCUCUG
RNAcentral lists this transfer RNA (72 nucleotides) under Camelus bactrianus (Bactrian camel). It matches the Rfam family "tRNA". Rfam says of the family: Transfer RNA (tRNA) molecules are approximately 80 nucleotides in length. The record is from Rfam by way of RNAcentral. Lineage: Eukaryota; Metazoa; Chordata; Mammalia; Artiodactyla; Camelidae. RNAcentral also lists the same sequence under 1 other name.